AGGACGAACGCUGGCGGCGUGCUUAACACAUGCAAGUCGAACGAUGAAGCCUUUCGGGGUGGAUUAGUGGCGAACGGGUGAGUAACACGUGGGCAACCUGCCCUCCACUCUGGGAUAACUCCGGGAAACCGGGCUAAUACUGGAUAUGACCUGGGAUCGCAUGGUCCUGGGUGGAAAGUUUUUCGGUGGAGGAUGGGCCCGCGGCCUAUCAACUUGUUGGUGGGUGAUGGCCUACCAAGGCGGUGACGGGUA
RNAcentral lists this ribosomal RNA (252 nucleotides) under uncultured bacterium. Its description in RNAcentral is "partial small subunit ribosomal RNA". It matches the Rfam family "Bacterial small subunit ribosomal RNA", at positions 26 to 285 of the family's 1533-position model. The record is from RNAcentral.